RNAcentral lists this ribosomal RNA (825 nucleotides) under uncultured bacterium. RNAcentral's name for it is "bacterial SSU rRNA". It matches the Rfam family "Bacterial small subunit ribosomal RNA", at positions 54 to 878 of the family's 1533-position model. The record is from RNAcentral.
CAUGCAAGUCGAACGAGAAUCUACUGAAAGAGUUUUCGGACAAUGGAUGUAGAGGAAAGUGGCGGACGGGUGAGUAACGCGUGAGGAACCUGCCUUGAAGAGGGGGACAACAGUUGGAAACGACUGCUAAUACCGCAUGACGCAUAGAGGUCGCAUGAUCUUUAUGCCAAAGAUUUAUCGCUUCAAGAUGGCCUCGCGUCUGAUUAGCUGGUUGGCGGGGUAACGGCCCACCAAGGCGACGAUCAGUAGCCGGACUGAGAGGUUGAACGGCCACAUUGGGACUGAGAUACGGCCCAGACUCCUACGGGAGGCAGCAGUGGGGAAUAUUGGGCAAUGGGCGCAAGCCUGACCCAGCAACGCCGCGUGAAGGAAGAAGGCUUUCGGGUUGUAAACUUCUUUUAAGAGGGAAGAGCAGAAGACGGUACCUCUAGAAUAAGCCACGGCUAACUACGUGCCAGCAGCCGCGGUAAUACGUAGGUGGCAAGCGUUGUCCGGAUUUACUGGGUGUAAAGGGCGUGCAGCCGGGUCUGCAAGUCAGAUGUGAAAUCCAUGGGCUCAACCCAUGAACUGCAUUUGAAACUGUAGAUCUUGAGUGUCGGAGGGGCAAUCGGAAUUCCUAGUGUAGCGGUGAAAUGCGUAGAUAUUAGGAGGAACACCAGUGGCGAAGGCGGAUUGCUGGACGAUAACUGACGGUGAGGCGCGAAAGUGUGGGGAGCAAACAGGAUUAGAUACCCUGGUAGUCCACACUGUAAACGAUGAAUACUAGGUGUGCGGGGACUGACCCCCUGCGUGCCGCAGUAAACACAAUAAGUAUUCCACCUGGGG